AUUUGUUAGGAAUUGAUAAUAGUUGUGUUCAACAAAGUUGAUCACAACAGAUGAGAAUAACAAUUUUCACUGGUUUUUCAAACGGUCCACUCGAUCACUUUGUUUAAUAAUGCUAUGACCUUUCUGUAAAAUCAACAUUAACUACCUGGUUCAUGACUGAUGGGUUACCCUGCUUUUUCCACCAUGUAUCCUGACAGCCCCGUAUACUCUUCGGCCCAGUUCACUUGAACUGUUGAAACUCUCGAGUUAACUUUACUUACUCGGGUUUCAACUAUGGCCGAGUUCACUUGAAACUUUUGAGUUAACUUUACUAACUUGAGUUUUAAUAAUACGAUUUUACUUUAACCACUCUUACUCUAGUUCCAACCCUCACCGAGUCAGGGUUAAACUCGAGAAUUAAACUCUUGAAUGACGUCAAACCAAUGAGAAUAUCUUAUUUUUUAUGCUUGGUCAGGGCCUUAUCCUAGAGUUCCUUAGAGUUGUUCCUAAUAUCAACUCUACUGCAUUCACGUGAUAAUCUAUCAACUCUGAAGUCGAUUGUAGAGUUUCAAGUGAACUCGGCCAAUACGAUUUUACUUGAACGACUCGAGAUAACCCCUCAUACUCUAG
RNAcentral lists this long non-coding RNA (609 nucleotides) under Mytilus galloprovincialis (Mediterranean mussel). Lineage: Eukaryota; Metazoa; Mollusca; Bivalvia; Mytilida; Mytilidae. The record is from RNAcentral.